This 476-nucleotide long non-coding RNA is filed under the name Homo sapiens (human). Its description in RNAcentral is "non-protein coding lnc-PTX4-4:1". Lineage: Eukaryota; Metazoa; Chordata; Mammalia; Primates; Hominidae. The record is from RNAcentral.
CUUCCCUCACUUCCGAGUCAGUGCUUCUCGUUCUAGACCCUCCCUCCUCCCUGGCAGAUUUUCCUUCCAUGCUUUCCCCUCUCUUUCCAGAGCCUGAAACCAGAGAAGGAGAGGUGGGCCGUGAGCAACCCUUGGUUGGCGCAGCUUGUUCCCGUCUAGUUAGUCGCUGAUGCUACAGUUUCACUUACAGUUUUAUCUUUGAGGAGCUCCAAAGACCUUUUUAGUUCUUACAACAGGAAAAUCAGGGUUUCGUGACUAGAGUCUACCAACUAGGAUAACAGGACACUGUGGCCGCAGCGAUGGAGCCGGGCGUCCUAAUCCAGCUGGAAACAUAGGCUCUAGGAUGGAGGAGAGGCUGUCCACAUGGCCCUGCCCCUCCUCAUCCCCUACAGCCAUGGGGAUGUGGCCACAGAUUGUCCUGGAGGCCAUGGGGCCUCCAGCCAGCCUUCAGCCCCAGCCCCGCUUCUGCCCACCCA